Long non-coding RNA from Numida meleagris (helmeted guineafowl), 2472 nucleotides. The record is from Ensembl. Lineage: Eukaryota; Metazoa; Chordata; Aves; Galliformes; Numididae.
AUGCCAGCCAGCCAGGCAGCAGGAUCACCACUCACUCACGCACGCCACUCAGCCAGCCAGCAGGAACACCGCUCACCUACACAUGCCAGCCAGCCAGCCAGCCGGAGCAGAAAUCACUCACCCACGCCAGCCAUCGAGCCAGCCGGAGCAGAAAUCUCUCACCCACGCCAGCCAUUGAGCCAGCCGGUGCGCCACUCACCUAUGCAUACACGCCAGCCAGCCAGCCAGCCGGAGCAACUCUCACCCACGCACGCCACCCACGCCAGCCAGCCGGACCACCACUCACGCACCCACGCCACACAGCCAGCCAGCCAGAGAACCACUCACUUAAACACCCACGCCAGCCAAACAGCCAGCUGGAGCACCACUCACCCACCCACACACGCCAGCCAGAAUGACACAAGGACCACAGCUCACCCACCCACACCAGCCAGCCAGCCAGCCGGAGCACCACUCACCCACACUCCAGCCAGCCAGGCAGCUGGAGCACCACUCACUCACCCACGCACGCCAGCAGCCAGCCGGAGCACCACUCACCCACGCACGCCAGCCAGCCAGCCAGCCGGAGCUCCACUCACCCACGCACGCCAGCCAGCCAGCCAGCUGGAGCACCACUCACCCACCCACGCACGCCAGCCAGCGAGCCGCAGCACCACUCACCCACGCACACCAACCAAGACAGACAGACGGUGCACCACUCACCCAUCCACGCCCCCCAGCCUGCCAGCCAGAGCACAGCUCACCCACCCACACCAGCCAGCCAGCCAGCAGGAGCACCACUCAACCAUGCAUGCCAGCCAGCCAGCCGGAGCACCAAUCACCCACGUACGCCAGCCAGCCAGCGAGCCGGAGCAACUCUCACCCACGCACGCCACCCACGCCAGCCAGCCGGAACACCACUCACGCACCCACGCCACACAGCCAGCCAGCCGGAGAACCACUCACUUAAACACCCACGCCAGCCAGCCAGCCAGCUGGAGCACCACUCACCCACUCAUGCACGCCAGCCAGAAUGCCACAAGGACCACAGCUCACCCACCCAGCCACCCAGCCAGCCAGCCGGAGCACCACUCACCCACACACGCCACCCAGCCAGCCGGAGCACAACUCACCUACGCACCCACGCCAGCCAGACUGCCACAAGGAGCACAACUCACCCACCCACGGCAGCCAGCCAGAGCAGCACUCACUCACCCAUGCCAGGCAUCGAGCCAGCCGGAGCACCACUCACCCACGCACACCACCCACGCCAGCCAGCCGGAGCGCCACUCACCCACCCAUGCCACCCAGCCAGCCAGCCGGAGCACCACUCACCUACACACCCACGCCAGCAAGCCAGCCGGAGCACCACUCACCCAUGCACGCCAGUCAGCCAGCCAGGAGGUGCACCUCUCACCAACCCUCGCACGCCAGCCAGACUGCCAAAAGGACCACCACUCACCCACCCACGCACGCCAGCCAGCCAGCCGGAGCACCACUCACCCACACACGCCAGCCACCCAGCCAGCCUGUGCACCACUCACCCACACACGCACACCAGCGAUACAGCCGGAGUACCACUCACCCACCCACGCCAACCAGCCAGCAGGAGCACAACUCACCUACGCACCCAUGCCAGCCAGACGGCCGGCCAGAGCACCACUCACCCACACACGCCAGACAGCCAGGAGGAGCAUCACUCACCCACCCACGCACGCUAGCCAGCCGGAGCACCACUCACCCACCCACGCACGCCAGCCAGCCAGCCGGAGCACCACUCAACCACACACGCCAUCCAGCCAGCCAGCCGGAGCACCACUCACCCUCCCACGCCAGCCAACGAGCCGGAGCACAACUCACCCACCCACGCAAGCCAGCAACCUGGAGCACCACUCAGCCAUGCACGCCAGUCAGCCAGCAAGCCAGAGCACCACUCACCCACCCACGCACGCCAGCCAGCGAGCCAGAGCGCAUCUCAGCUACGCACACACGCCAGCCUGCCAGCUGGAGCACCACUCAACCACCCACGCAAGCCAGCCAUCCAGCCGGAGCACAACUCACCUACGUACACAUGCCAGCCAGCCAGACGGAGUACCUCUCACUCACUCACGCCAGCCGUCGAUCCAGACGGAGCACCACUCACCUAUGCACACACGCCAGCCAGCCAGCCACGGGAGCACCUCUCACCUACACACGCACUCCAGCCAGCCUGCCACAAGGAGCACCACUCACCCACGCACGCCACCAAAGACAGUCAGCUGGUGCACCACUCACCCACCCACACCACCCAGCCAGUCAGCCAGAGCGCCACUCACCCACCCACGCACGCCAGCCAGACUGCCACAAGGAGCACCACUCACCCACCCACGCAUGCCAGCCGGAACACCACUCGCCCACCCAUGCACGCCAGCCAGCCAGCCCAAGCACCACUCACCCACCCUCGCACGCCAGCCAGCCAGCCGAAGCACCACUCACUCACCCACGCACUCCAGC